This 438-nucleotide ribosomal RNA is filed under the name uncultured Leisingera sp. RNAcentral's name for it is "bacterial SSU rRNA". It matches the Rfam family "Bacterial small subunit ribosomal RNA", at positions 97 to 570 of the family's 1533-position model. The record is from RNAcentral. Lineage: Bacteria; Pseudomonadati; Pseudomonadota; Alphaproteobacteria; Rhodobacterales; Roseobacteraceae.
GGCGGACGGGUGAGUAACGCGUGGGAACGUGCCCUUCUCUAUGGAAUAGCCACUGGAAACGGUGAGUAAUACCAUAUACGCCCUUCGGGGGAAAGAUUUAUCGGAGAAGGAUCGGCCCGCGUUAGAUUAGGUAGUUGGUGGGGUAAUGGCCUACCAAGCCUACGAUCUAUAGCUGGUUUUAGAGGAUGAUCAGCCACACUGGGACUGAGACACGGCCCAGACUCCUACGGGAGGCAGCAGUGGGGAAUCUUAGACAAUGGGCGCAAGCCUGAUCUAGCCAUGCCGCGUGAGUGAUGAAGGCCUUAGGGUCGUAAAGCUCUUUCGCCAGAGAUGAUAAUGACAGUAUCUGGUAAAGAAACCCCGGCUAACUCCGUGCCAGCAGCCGCGGUAAUACGGAGGGGGUUAGCGUUGUUCGGAAUUACUGGGCGUAAAGCGCAC